AACCAGACUCCUACGGGAGGCAGCAGUGGGGAAUAUUGGGCAAUGGGCGCAAGCCUGACCCAGCAACGCCGCGUGAAGGAAGAAGGCUUUCGGGUUGUAAACUUCUUUUAGGAGGGAAGAGCAGAAGACGGUACCUCUUGAAUAAGCCACGGCUAACUACGUGCCAGCAGCCGCGGUAAUACGUAGGUGGCAAGCGCUAUCCGGAUUUACUGGGUGUAAAGGGGGCGCAGACGGCGAUGCAAGCCAGGAGUGAAAGCCCGGGGCCCAACCCCGGGACUGCUCUUGGAACUGCGUGGCUGGAGUGCAGGAGGGGCAGGCGGAAUUCCUGGUGUAGCGGUGAAAUGCGUAGAUAUCAGGAGGAACACCGGUGGCGAAGGCGGCCUGCUGGACUGCAACUGACGUUGAGGCCCGAAAGCGUGGGGAGCAAACAGGAUUAGAUACCCCAGUA
This 448-nucleotide ribosomal RNA is filed under the name uncultured bacterium. RNAcentral's name for it is "bacterial SSU rRNA". It matches the Rfam family "Bacterial small subunit ribosomal RNA", at positions 329 to 792 of the family's 1533-position model. The record is from RNAcentral.